AGCACAAAGUUCCUUCCUCUCUA
RNAcentral lists this non-coding RNA (23 nucleotides) under Arabidopsis thaliana (thale cress). The record is from RNAcentral. Lineage: Eukaryota; Viridiplantae; Streptophyta; Magnoliopsida; Brassicales; Brassicaceae.